CAGUAGCCGCGGGAAUACGGAGGGUGCAAGCGUUAAUCGGAAUUACUGGGCGUAAAGCGCACGCAGGCGGUCUGUCAAGUCAGAUGUGAAAUCCCCGGGCUUAACCUGGGAACUGCAUUUGAAACUGGCAGGCUAGAGUCUUGUAGAGGGGGGUAGAAUUCCAGGUGUAGCGGUGAAAUGCGUAGAGAUCGGAAGGAACAUCUGUGGCGAAGGCGACUAUCUGGGCCAACACUGACACUGAGGCACGAAAGCGUGGGGAGCAAACAGGAUUAGAUACCCCAGUAGUCCCUGUCUCUUAUAU
RNAcentral lists this ribosomal RNA (301 nucleotides) under uncultured bacterium. RNAcentral describes it as "partial 16S ribosomal RNA". It matches the Rfam family "Bacterial small subunit ribosomal RNA", at positions 509 to 809 of the family's 1533-position model. The record is from RNAcentral.